AUACGUAGGGGGCAAGCGUUAUCCGGAUUUACUGGGUGUAAAGGGAGCGUAGACGGCAAAGCAAGUCUGAAGUGAAAGCCCCGGGCUCAACCCGGGAAUUGCUUUGGAAACUGUUUAGCUGGAGUGCAGGAGAGGUAAGCGGAAUUCCUAGUGUAGCGGUGAAAUGCGUAGAUAUUAGGAGGAACACCGGCGGCGAAGGCGGCUUACUGGACUGUAACUGACGUUGAGGCUCGAAAGCGUGGGGAGCAAACAGGAUUAGAUCCCCUGGUAGUCCACGCCGUAAACGAUGAUUACUAGGUGUUGGUUGUCAUAGACAAUCGGUGCCGCAGCAAACGCAAUAAGUAAUCCACCUGGGGAGUACGUUCGCAAGAAUGAAACUCAAAUGAAUUGACGGGG
This 396-nucleotide ribosomal RNA is filed under the name uncultured bacterium. Its description in RNAcentral is "partial 16S ribosomal RNA". It matches the Rfam family "Bacterial small subunit ribosomal RNA", at positions 523 to 918 of the family's 1533-position model. The record is from RNAcentral.